CCUACGGGAGGCAGCAGUGGGGGAUAUUGCACAAUGGGGGAAACCCUGAUGCAGCGACGCCGCGUGAGUGAAGAAUUCUUUCGGUAUGUAAAGCUCUAUCAGCAGGGAAGAAAAUGACAGUACCUGACCAAGAAGCCCCGGCUAACUACGUUCCAGCAGCCGCGGUAAUACGUAGGGGGCAAGCGUUAUCCGGAUUUACUGGGUGUAAAGGGAGCGUAGACGGUUAUGUAAGUCUGUAGUGAAAGCCCGGGGCUCAACCCCGGGCCUGCUUUGGAAACUGUGUAACUGGAGUACAGGAGGGGCAGGCGGAAUUCCUGGUGUAGCGGUGAAAUGCGUAGAUAUCAGGAGGAACACCGGCGGCGAAGGCGGCCUGCUGGACUGAAACUGACGUUGAGGCUCGAAAGCGUGGGUAGCAAACAGGAGUAGAUACCCCAGUAGUC
RNAcentral lists this ribosomal RNA (440 nucleotides) under uncultured bacterium. RNAcentral describes it as "partial 16S ribosomal RNA". It matches the Rfam family "Bacterial small subunit ribosomal RNA", at positions 338 to 795 of the family's 1533-position model. The record is from RNAcentral.